UAUUGCACAAUGGGGGAAACCCUGAUGCAGCGACGCCGCGUGAGUGAAGAAGCGUUUCGGCGCGUAAAGCUCUGUCAGCGGGGAAGAAACACGGUUCGCGAGAGCCGAGGACGGUACCCUACCAAGAAGCCCCGGCUAACUACGUGCCAGCAGCCGCGGUAAUACGUAGGGGGCAAGCGUUAUCCGGAUUCACUGGGUGUAAAGGGAGCGUAGACGGCGAAACAAGUCUGGAGUGAAAGCCCGGGGCCCAACCCCGGGACUGCUCUUGGAACUGCGCGGCUGGAGUGCAGGAGGGGCAGGCGGAAUUCCUGGUGUAGCGGUGAGAUGCGUAGAUAUCAGGAGGAACACCGGUGGCGAAGGCGGCCUGCUGGACUGCGACUGACGUUGAGGCCCGAAAGCGUGGGGAGCAAACAGG
Molecule: ribosomal RNA, 415 nt
Filed under: uncultured bacterium
Lineage: Bacteria
Description: bacterial SSU rRNA
Rfam family: Bacterial small subunit ribosomal RNA
Source: RNAcentral